Non-coding RNA from Peniophora sp. CONT, 82 nucleotides. Lineage: Eukaryota; Fungi; Basidiomycota; Agaricomycetes; Russulales; Peniophoraceae. The record is from Rfam.
GGGCGUCUGGCACAGUGGUAGCGCGCUUGCUUCGCAUCUUCGCGUCUGCAUGAGGUCUUGGGUUCAAACCCCAAGUCGUCCA